CAACUCUGGUUUCUCUUCAGAUCACAUAAAUCUUUCAUCUUUUACUAAAGAUUUCCGUGGAGAGGAACAAUUCUGGGUCUUUAUCCAAUUUUUUGUUUCGGCAAGGCCAUUUAAAA
Callithrix jacchus (white-tufted-ear marmoset) is the source of this 116-nucleotide small nuclear RNA. Its record names the gene U5. It matches the Rfam family "U5 spliceosomal RNA". Rfam says of the family: U5 RNA is a component of both types of known spliceosome. The precise function of this molecule is unknown, though it is known that the 5' loop is required for splice site selection and p220 binding, and that both the 3' stem-loop and the Sm site are important for Sm protein binding and cap methylation. NCBI's taxonomy places the organism in Eukaryota, Metazoa, Chordata, Mammalia, Primates, Cebidae. The record is from Ensembl.